GUUUUAUGAUUCUUAAUAUAAAAUCAAACCUGCUCAAUGACAAAAGUUAAAUAGCCGCAGUAAACUGACUGUGCAAAGGUAGCAUAAUAAAUUGUCUUUUAAUUGAAGACUGGAAUGAAUGGUUUAACGUAAGAAACUCUGUCUCUAUUUUUAUAUUUGAACUUUAUUUUUAUAUGAAAAAGUAUAAAAUUUUAUUAAGGGACGAAAAGACCCCAUCAAGUUUUAUAUAAAACUUAUUACAUUCUUUAAAUAAUAAAUAUUAUAUUUAUCUGGGGCGGAUUAAAUAAACUAUCUUUUUAUAAAUAUUAUAACUAAGUGUUUAUUAAUGAUCUUUAAUUUUAAAUAAAAAAACAAAUUACUGUGGGGGUAACAGCGUUAUUUUUUUGGUAAGCUCAAAUUUAUAAAAAAGAUUACGACCUCGAUGUUGGAUUAUUUUAACCUAUUUAAUGAAAAAGUUAAUUAGGUGAGUCUGUUCGACUCAUAAAAAUUUACA
This 493-nucleotide ribosomal RNA is filed under the name Ammothella spinifera. RNAcentral describes it as "partial 16S ribosomal RNA". It matches the Rfam family "Archaeal large subunit ribosomal RNA", at positions 1908 to 2669 of the family's 2987-position model. Lineage: Eukaryota; Metazoa; Arthropoda; Pycnogonida; Pantopoda; Ammotheidae. The record is from RNAcentral.